RNAcentral lists this ribosomal RNA (253 nucleotides) under uncultured bacterium. RNAcentral describes it as "partial 16S ribosomal RNA". It matches the Rfam family "Bacterial small subunit ribosomal RNA", at positions 524 to 776 of the family's 1533-position model. The record is from RNAcentral.
UACGUAGGGGCCAAGCGUUGUCCGGAUUUAUUGGGCGUAAAGAGCUCGUAGGCGGUUUGUCGCGUCUGCUGUGAAAACUCGGGGCUUAACUCCGGGCCUGCAGUGGGUACGGGCAGACUAGAGUGCGGUAGGGGAGACUGGAAUUCCUGGUGUAGCGGUGAAAUGCGCAGAUAUCAGGAGGAACACCGGUGGCGAAGGCGACAUCCUGGACCGGUAUUGACGCUGAGGCGCGAAAGCCAGGGGAGCAAACGGG